GGACUCAUCAGACCCCUGGCGGCAGCUUCGGAGGUCCCAAGAAUUCCCAAGGCGCAUGUACGUGCCCUAGAAGUUCCCUACAAAGAUUUCCCUUAGGUCGUUCCAAUUCCGGAUCCGACCUGAUGGAAGGUGUUCCAGGCAGACUCGUGCUGAGUCGGCUAAGAAUAGAGGGAGGUUGCGGAUGAUGAGGUCGUCAUCUGCCCCACCUGCCUGACAGGCAAGCCGGUAGUCACUGAGCCAAAGCCCUUGGGUUGGUCUCCCCGGAGUACUUGGCCACGUUGGUGGGCUGCCUGAAACGUGCCGGGGAUAGCGCGUUCAGGAUAAGUGCGGAGAAGGCCCUGGGCCCGACUGGGUUGGGGCUCGGGCUCCACUCUUCUUCGCUGUCGUAGCGGUCACCGCGGUGUACGUGAUAAACGCGAUUGGCUCCGUCCUCCCUAUCCACGCGGGACCGCCUUCGUGCGUCCAGGGUGUCACGGGCGUCAUGGAUGGGACCAACGCGCUGGUGGAUAGAUGGGGCUCCGCCACCUGCAGGUGGUGGGGUCCGUCGAGCGGGCGCGGCCUGGUUCCCCCCGGGGGGAGGCUGGUGGACAGACUCCCCAUGCCUUUCGGGAGGUGCGGUAGGCGCUUCCCUGCUGGCGUUGUGCCGACGUUGUCGGGACGCAGAGCUCUGCGCCUACUGGACUACGG
RNAcentral lists this long non-coding RNA (687 nucleotides) under Setaria viridis. Its description in RNAcentral is "long non-coding RNA (SVIR_LNC006891)". The record is from RNAcentral. Lineage: Eukaryota; Viridiplantae; Streptophyta; Magnoliopsida; Poales; Poaceae.